Molecule: ribosomal RNA, 404 nt
Filed under: Bacillota bacterium
Lineage: Bacteria; Bacillati; Bacillota
Description: Firmicutes bacterium partial 16S ribosomal RNA
Rfam family: Bacterial small subunit ribosomal RNA
Source: RNAcentral
UGGGGAAUAUUGCACAAUGGGGGAAACCCUGAUGCAGCAACGCCGCGUGAGUGAUGACGGCCUUCGGGUUGUAAAGCUCUGUCUUCAGGGACGAUAAUGACGGUACCUGAUGAGGAAGCCACGGCUAACUACGUGCCAGCAGCCGCGGUAAUACGUAGGUGGCGAGCGUUGUCCGGAUUUACUGGGCGUAAAGGGAGCGUAGGCGGAUUUUUAAGUGAGAUGUGAAAUACUCGGGCUUAACCUGAGUGCUGCAUUUCAAACUGGAAGUCUAGAGUGCAGGAGAGGAGAAGGGAAUUCCUAGUGUAGCGGUGAAAUGCGUAGAGAUUAGGAAGAACACCAGUGGCGAAGGCGCUUCUCUGGACUGUAACUGACGCUGAGGCUCGAAAGCGUGGGGAGCAAACAGG